RNAcentral lists this transfer RNA (92 nucleotides) under Vibrio vulnificus. RNAcentral's name for it is "tRNA-Ser". It matches the Rfam family "tRNA". Rfam says of the family: Transfer RNA (tRNA) molecules are approximately 80 nucleotides in length. Their secondary structure includes four short double-helical elements and three loops (D, anti-codon, and T loops). The record is from RNAcentral. Lineage: Bacteria; Pseudomonadati; Pseudomonadota; Gammaproteobacteria; Vibrionales; Vibrionaceae.
UGCGAGUUGUCCGAGAGGUCGAAGGUGGCGGUUUUGAAAGCCGCUAGUCGUAGUGAUACGGCUCUAGGGUUCGAAUCCCUAACUCGCAGCCA